RNAcentral lists this small RNA (29 nucleotides) under Bombyx mori (domestic silkworm). RNAcentral describes it as "ovarian small RNA-13376". The record is from RNAcentral. Lineage: Eukaryota; Metazoa; Arthropoda; Insecta; Lepidoptera; Bombycidae.
CAGUUGCCCUGCGACGCGAUGGCCGCGGC